RNAcentral lists this ribosomal RNA (465 nucleotides) under uncultured bacterium. RNAcentral describes it as "SSU rRNA". It matches the Rfam family "Bacterial small subunit ribosomal RNA", at positions 26 to 518 of the family's 1533-position model. The record is from RNAcentral.
AGAAUCAACGCUGGCGGCGUGCCUAACACAUGCAAGUCGAACGAGAAAGUGGGAGCAAUCCCACGAGUAAAGUGGCGCACGGGUGAGUAACACGUGACUAACCUACCCUUGAGUGGGGGAUAACCUAGGGAAACCUGGGCUAAUACCGCAUAAUACCUACGGGUCAAAGGAGCAAUUCGCUUAAGGAGGGGGUCGCGGCAGAUUAGUUAGUUGGCGGGGUAAUGGCCCACCAAGACAGUGAUCUGUAUCCGGCCUGAGAGGGCGCACGGACACACUGGAACUGAAACACGGUCCAGACUCCUACGGGAGGCAGCAGUGGGAAUAUUGCGCAAUGGGCGAAAGCCUGACGCAGCGACGCCGCGUGGGGGAUGAAGGCCUUCGGGUUGUAAACCCCUUUCAGCAGGGACGAAGCGAAGUGACGGUACCUGCAGAAGAAGCGCCGGCUAACUACGUGCCAGCAGCCGC